AAGGGUUUAGCUUAAUUAAAGUGUCUGAUUUGCAUUCAGGCGAUGUAAGUUGUAGGCUUGCAAUCCUUA
This 69-nucleotide transfer RNA is filed under the name Trinomys paratus. Its description in RNAcentral is "tRNA-Ala". It matches the Rfam family "tRNA". Rfam says of the family: Transfer RNA (tRNA) molecules are approximately 80 nucleotides in length. Their secondary structure includes four short double-helical elements and three loops (D, anti-codon, and T loops). Lineage: Eukaryota; Metazoa; Chordata; Mammalia; Rodentia; Echimyidae. The record is from RNAcentral. RNAcentral also lists the same sequence under 1 other name.